UAAUAGGCCUCAGUAUAGUAUAAACAUAACUUUUAUAUGUACUGGGAAACCAAAGAAUUCCCAACUUACUUUAUUGCAAUAUUUGCUUUAUUGUAGUCUGGAACGGAACUAGCAAUAUCUCCAUGGAAUACCUGUAAUGAGCAGAUUUAACCUAAGAUGAGAAAAUAUUUCCACUGAAGUUUGAAAUUUAAGUACGUGUUAGCCAGGUGGAGAAGCAGAACAGAAGUUGCCCAAGAUCUUACAGAUGUGUGCUCAUCUUAUUACGGAAGUCUUU
RNAcentral lists this long non-coding RNA (274 nucleotides) under Homo sapiens (human). RNAcentral's name for it is "HSALNT0087280". The record is from RNAcentral. Lineage: Eukaryota; Metazoa; Chordata; Mammalia; Primates; Hominidae.